This 416-nucleotide unclassified non-coding RNA is filed under the name Hevea brasiliensis (rubber tree). Lineage: Eukaryota; Viridiplantae; Streptophyta; Magnoliopsida; Malpighiales; Euphorbiaceae. The record is from RNAcentral.
AUCAUUGCACUCAUCAUGCUAUUUUUGUGAAGUUGUACAAUCAAUGCCAUAUAAACAACCAAAUCUAAUUGGAAUUUUAUGUUUUGAUUUUGUUCUCUUCCUUUCUAAAUCGCCACUAGUUAAGCUGGAUCACAGGUCCAUAAGUUGUUUAUUUGAUUCAUGGUCUGCACUUCUUCUCAUGUAAUGUCCAUCCAAUCAGCUUUUAUAACUCCAGUGUACCUGUAAUUGUGCAUGACUGUUGAAACUUGCGGCAAUGGUUGGUGUUUGAGUGAAAUUUCACAGCUAUAAUGAAAAAUUGACCUUCCUGUUCGUCAGAAUUGGAUCUGCUAGCUGUGAUUCAGUGUGUGUUGAUGUUCUCUUGAAAUUGACAGUGCUUAUGGAGGAUUAAUUAGAGUAUCUGAAAAAAAAAAAAAAAA